UCUGCCCUAAACUUCUCAUUUAAUCCACGUUCCCUACAUUGCAGGUUGCGGAGCCACAUUUUUACACGGAUCCAGCUGAAAGCCACAGAAAGACCAAAGCACCGAAAUGCGCUGGAAGGCGCCACGCGAUCUCUCUCUGAGGAGGAACAAGCUGGAUUAGCGCCGAGGUAAAAUGGCAAAGUUCAUCUCAUGUCAAGGAAAUGAAGUCUCUUUUCUAUGCUGGAGGCUUGGUGCUUCAGGAAGAACACAGGUUGCCUUUCUUUGCCAGAGUGAUGAUUAGUGACUGUGUCCACGUGGAGGGCCACUCACCAGUCUGCCAGAUCUUGUUGCAGAUCUUGCCUGCAGUUGAACACAUGCUUGUAUCUGCAUCUUUAUUAAAGAGACAAAGUAAUCUCCUGUAGCUGAUGCUGCAUUUCCCAUGUUAUUCACCUACACAAUCCAAAGUCGUCGGGAUAGUUUAUAUAUUAGGAUCAAUAAGAAAAGUAAGCUUCUUAAAGCACUGGCAGAAUGCCACUUCCUCCAGCCUCCCAAAUCCAAAUGUAAGCAAUUUAUCACUACAUUUAUUCUGAGAGGAAAAGCCAUGGCUCACAGCCUUAUUUACAACACAGUUAACCACCUUUACAAUUAACCAAGUUGGAGAACCCCCCUCACAGCUAAUCAGCUACCUCGUAUUAAAUAUAUUACAUGCCAUUAACCUUGUCAGUUAGUAGAUCUCUUUCAACUCUGAAUACUGCCCCUGUCUAGAAAGGUACUGAUCCAAAUGCUCUCACAGGCAUGUAUCUGACAGUUUUCUCAUUCUCCUCAAAACAUCUAGAUACUUUAUAAAAAAAAAAGAAAUUAUACAUAUUUCAGCCCCUAACCCAAUCUCCCAGUUCAGGAAAGCAUUUAAGCACAUGCUCAACUUGCUUGUGCUUAAGUCCCAUUAUCUUCAAUGUGACUUAACCGUAUGCUUAAGUGCUCUUCUGAAUAUAGAUGCUUUCCUCAAAGGAAAUGAUUCAAGUCUUUUUACUGUGCAGAAAUGGGGAAUGACACCCCUCUGCAUCACGGCUCUUCUAAAGAUCCCUACAUUACUGACAUAACUGAUAACCUAUUCUAUGAUUAUGCAUCUCUUGAACUAGUGUCGAUCCCUUUUAAACAAUAGCUUCUCAUGUGAAUAACUGACUUUUUUUUUAAUAUUUAUGCUUCAGUAGGGCCCAGUCAGGACUGGGGUGCCAUUUUGUU
Long non-coding RNA from Trachemys scripta elegans, 1221 nucleotides. RefSeq lists it as uncharacterized. NCBI's taxonomy places the organism in Eukaryota, Metazoa, Chordata, Testudines, Emydidae. The transcript is spliced from 4 exons. The record is from RefSeq and is a predicted model, not a curated record.